AACGAACGCUGGCGGCGUGCCUAACACAUGCAAGUCGUGCGAGAAAGUUCCUUCGGGAGCGAGUAAAGCGGCGCACGGGUGAGUAACACGUAGGUAACCUGCCCCCCAGUCUGGAACAACUAGAGGAAACUCUAGCUAAUGCCGGAUGAGACCACGAUCCCUUCGGGGGUUGCGGCCAAAGAUGGCCUCUACUUGUAAGCUAUCGCUGAGGGAUGGGCCUGCGGGCCAUUAGCUUGUUGGUGAGGUAACGGGCUCACCAAGGCUGUGAUGGCUAGCUGGUCUGAGAGGAUGACCAGCCACACUGGGACUGAGACACGGCCCAGACUCCUACGGGAGCAGCAGUGGGGAAUAUUGCGCAAUGGGCGAAGCCUGACGCAGCGACGCCGCGUGGGUGAUGAAGGCCUUCGG
Molecule: ribosomal RNA, 408 nt
Filed under: uncultured bacterium
Lineage: Bacteria
Description: bacterial SSU rRNA
Rfam family: Bacterial small subunit ribosomal RNA
Source: RNAcentral